GGGGCAGGCACCCACCCUGGACAGGGACCUUCUUCAGGAUCCUGGGCUGUGCCAGCAGCCUGGGCUUCAAAGCGCUACCGUUUGUUUGAUUCUCGCACACUACAAAGUGCUGUGACCCUCGCUUGCGGAAGUGCCACGCCCACCAGGGGAGAGGGCUGCAAAGCCAACAGCCUUUGUCCAGGGAGUUUGCCGGUGCAGGGGUGUGGCAGCCGCUUGCUCAGGGCGGAUAGGUAGCCACAGGUCCUGGCCCAUGGGUGCAGGCCUCUCCCGGGAAGGGGUGCUGUGGGCAGAAGAUGCCCAGCCAUGGCAUCAGCCAGUCCGCUCAGCUGUGCACAUGGCUGCUCGAGGCCAAAGCGCCUGUGCACGUGAGCCUUUGUACAUGAGUGAGCACACGCAUUUGCACUGAGCUUGUAUGACUGUGCAAGGCGUCCAUGUGUCUGCUCCCCAGGAGUGUGUGCAGUGUCUCGCACAACUCGUCCUCCCCCAGGGCACAAGGCCAGGGGCACAGGACACCCCACACCCCUCAGACCCUAGAGUCCCAGGCCCUGGGCGAUGCCUGUGUGGUGCCCCAGCAAGGGGGGUGUCCUGGGUGCUCCCUGUGUUCUGCUGCCCCUGGGAGGAGGCUCCAAGGUGGCUGCAAGGCUCACUGCAGGCAGACCUUGCCACGCCAGGGCCCCAGAGGUGGGCGUUGGGCCCAGGUCCCCAGCCAGCUGGUGGGAGGCAGAGGAUGGGAAUGCCCACAGGGAAACUGAACCCCAGCUCCACCGACUGUGCCAGGGCACAGAGGGGUCGGAAACGGCUCUGAGGCUGGACUCAGGAGGGUGGAGGCCAAGGGUCCCGGGGCAGGAGCGGGUGACGAGUUUUGAGGGCAGUGUGAGCCCUGGGCUGCUCUGGAGCUGGCGAUCUCUACCUCCUCCUGCCCUGCCUGCCUGGGUCAGAUGUAUGCCCUGUGCCCUCCACACACUGACUGAGUCCUGGGCCACUGAAGCUGGGCCAGGCCGGGCUGGCUUGAGACUGGUGAGGGCGAUGGCUUUGCCAGAAUCCCAGCCAUCUGGGUGGAGCCCAGCUGCCCCCAGGCGUGGGACCUCCUCCUGUCCCCAGAGGGGCCUCUCAAGGUGACCCCAGCCCCGGGGGGGGUCGUGUGAACAGGGCUGUCCUGGCUGUGCCUUUGUGCAUCCCCACAAUGGCAGAACUUGAUGCCGCCUCUCGCAUUACCGGACUCAGAAGCUCACCGAGCCCCUCUGCACUGCCCUGAUGCAGCUGGCUGGGAGGACUUGGCUUUGCAGAGAAGCAGGCCUGGGCAGCAUGCUGGUCCCCAGUGCCCACUGCUUUCUUGUCAUCAGAGCCUGUCCUCUCAGGGCCUUGCUGGACAGCCCUGCCUCUGCCACCAGAGUCCAGUUUGAGCUGUAGAAUGGAGAAAGCAGAUGUACUGGAUGACAGCCUGCUGGAGGAUGCUGUCCCUGCAGGAGGGAAGCAACGGCCCGGGGCACACACCUUGCUGGAGCACCCAGGGUCUACCUGCAGGCCCACAGCAGCCCCAGCUCAGAGUCAGAGGAAGCCACUGGGCAGAAGAGCCCAGCGAAUGGCCAGAAAACACCAUGGGCUCUUGGGGCAGGGCCAGCUGCUCCUCCCCACCUUCUACCACCUCCCAAGGUGACCAUGCUUGAGGGGGACCAUGCAGGGGCUGGGCAGUUUGCAUCCCUUGCUUGGUGCACACACAUACACAUGCACACACAUGCGCGCACAAACACACACACACAUACAUACACAUAUGCACACACAUCAGCUGAAUGCCUGGGCUGAGCAGAGGCAUGCAGCCCAGGGGUAAGCUCAGCGGUCUGCACAUUGGCGCAGUGGGAGCCCUGUGGAGUGGAGGCCGUGGGUGUAUGGCUGUGCUCGAUUGAGGCCUCUGUUUUCUGCAACCUAGAAGCCCCAGCUUCCACCUGCAGCACCUGAGGGCUCCCGUUGGCCCUGUGCGACUGCCGAGCCUGGACAGACGACUUGGGCUGCUCCCCUCUUCUCCCCCGGUCACCUGGACUCUCGUAGUGACCCAGCCCCUCCAUGAGCUGAGCUGACUCACUGCCUGCCCAACCCAGUGUCUGCAGCUGCACACUUCCGGUCCCUCGAGGAGAGUGUGCCUCUGGCUGGAGAUGCAACAGCCCCAAGGGUCCCAAGAGCCAGGCCUCACCAGCGGGGCAGGGACGCCGCAGCCCAGCCUGGCACCGUACCGCUGAGUGGGGCCGGGCCUCUGUGAUCAGCUGGAUGCCCUGAGUGUGCUCAAGUCUGCGGAGAGACCCAGGGCCCACAGUGCUUCCAAGGCCGUUUUCCUAAGAAUGGUGAUGGUGACUGGAGCACACUGUGCUUGGGAAAAGGAGGAACUGUGGCCAGCCCUGUCUCGCGCCCAGGUUCUCAGGGUGUCUGCAGCUGACCCUGGACUCACUGGGGCUCUCUGGGGUUUGCCCGCAUCAUGCCCCCCUGAGCAUGCUGGACCUGCUGCCCCAUCCCAGGCUCGGUGCCGCACCCAGGACGCAGAACUCAGCCACGGCCUCCAGUCCCCAUGAGCCUGUGGCUGGAGCAGUGGCUGCAUUGCAUGAACCUGAUCCCUCCCCAGGUGCUGAGCAGGCUCUGGGCUCCACCUGUGUUCAGGGGGCCUGGUCCUCCUCGAAGCCAUGCCUGUGGGGCCCCCAACAAUCCUGGCCUUGGGGUCACAUGGGCUCUGUUCACCUCCUGGGUGGACACUGUGGGGCAGGGCCCAGCAUCAAGCCCAGGACCCAGAGCGCACCCUCUGCAGCAGCCGUGGGCUGCCUCUUGAUGGCACCGGGGAGCAGAGCAGACCAUGAGAACCCCAUCCCUUCCACCUCCCCAAGUUGCUGCUUCCAGUGAAAUACAU
Molecule: long non-coding RNA, 2890 nt
Organism: Heterocephalus glaber (naked mole-rat)
Lineage: Eukaryota; Metazoa; Chordata; Mammalia; Rodentia; Bathyergidae
Source: Ensembl